GUAGGUGGCAAGCGUUGUCCGGAAUUAUUGGGCGUAAAGCGCGCGCAGGCGGUUCUUUAAGUCUGAUGUGAAAGCCCACGGCUCAACCGUGGAGGGUCAUUGGAAACUGGAGAACUUGAGUACAGAAGAGGAAAGCGGAAUUCCACGUGUAGCGGUGAAAUGCGUAGAGAUGUGGAGGAACACCAGUGGCGAAGGCGGCUUUCUGGUCUGUAACUGACGCUGAUGCGCGAAAGCGUGGGGAGCAAACAGGAUUAGAUACCCUGGUAGUCCACGCCGUAAACGAUGAGUGCUAAGUGUUAGGGGGUUUCCGCCCCCCUUAGUGCUGCAGCUAACGCAUUAAGCACUCCGCCUGGGAGUACGGCCGCAAGGCUG
Molecule: ribosomal RNA, 372 nt
Filed under: uncultured organism
Description: partial 16S ribosomal RNA
Rfam family: Bacterial small subunit ribosomal RNA
Source: RNAcentral